This 88-nucleotide transfer RNA is filed under the name Methanomassiliicoccaceae archaeon DOK. RNAcentral describes it as "tRNA-Leu". It matches the Rfam family "tRNA". From Rfam's summary of the family: Transfer RNA (tRNA) molecules are approximately 80 nucleotides in length. Their secondary structure includes four short double-helical elements and three loops (D, anti-codon, and T loops). Lineage: Archaea; Methanobacteriati; Thermoplasmatota; Thermoplasmata; Methanomassiliicoccales; Methanomassiliicoccaceae. The record is from RNAcentral. RNAcentral also lists the same sequence under 3 other names.
GCUGGGGUAGCCGAGCCUGGUCAAAGGCGAGGGACUCAAGAUCCCUUACCGUAGGGUUUCAAGGGUUCGAAUCCCUUCCCCAGCACCA